This 230-nucleotide ribosomal RNA is filed under the name uncultured bacterium. RNAcentral describes it as "partial 16S ribosomal RNA". It matches the Rfam family "Bacterial small subunit ribosomal RNA", at positions 563 to 791 of the family's 1533-position model. The record is from RNAcentral.
AAGCGUGCGCAGGCGGUUUUGUAAGACUGUCGUGAAAUCCCCGGGCUCAACCUGGGAAUGGCGAUGGUGACUGCAAGGCUAGAGUUUGGCAGAGGGGGGUAGAAUUCCACGUGUAGCAGUGAAAUGCGUAGAUAUGUGGAGGAACACCGAUGGCGAAGGCACGCCCCCUGGGUCAAAACUGACGCUCAUGCACGAAAGCGUGGGGAGCAAACAGGAUUAGAUACCCGUGU